UGAGACCUCUUGAUGGCCGCGGCCGUGAUCUUCAUUGGGAUCGGCUGAGGAACUUCCGGGCUCCAUAGAGCACGAUGGCGGAUAACGUCCGCCCAGGGUGACCUGAGAGAUAGCGCAACAGAGAACAGACCGCCCGUCCUCGACGGGUAAGGGUGAAACGGCGGUGUAAGAGACCACCGGGCCUCUGGUAACAGUAGGUCGCAUGGCAAGCCUCAUCGGGAGCAAGGCCAAGCAGAUGGCGGUAAGGGCUGCUCGCCCGUGUCAUCGGGUAGGCUGCUAGAGCCUGGCGGCAACGUCAGGUCGAGAUGGAUGGCCAUCCGUGCCGUGCGUUNNNNNNNNNNCACGACAGAACCCGGGGUAUAAGAGGUCUCAUUUU
This 376-nucleotide RNase P RNA is filed under the name Bifidobacterium longum. RNAcentral's name for it is "RNase P RNA component class A". It matches the Rfam family "Bacterial RNase P class A". Rfam says of the family: Ribonuclease P (RNase P) is a ubiquitous endoribonuclease, found in archaea, bacteria and eukarya as well as chloroplasts and mitochondria. The record is from RNAcentral. Lineage: Bacteria; Bacillati; Actinomycetota; Actinomycetes; Bifidobacteriales; Bifidobacteriaceae.